UAGACGACACCAGUUGCUUCCACCAGCUUGAAGCAUAACCACAAAACUCAGCAGUGGUUAAUUGAACCUUCUUUACUUCAGCAUAGCUUUAAUAGUCGAAAAUCAACUCCAUCUUCUCUUCCCAUUCCACAUAUGCAGCAGGAUCAGCGUUGCCAUGGAAAGGAGGGAUUUUUAGCUUUUGAUCAGCAAAUUUAUCUUUGUGACUGCCUCUGCCUUCAUGCUCACGUCUUUGUCUCCUCUCGCUGCGCCUAGACUCAUGAUUCUGAUCAGUAGCUCGUGG
Molecule: long non-coding RNA, 280 nt
Filed under: Brassica rapa (field mustard)
Lineage: Eukaryota; Viridiplantae; Streptophyta; Magnoliopsida; Brassicales; Brassicaceae
Description: long non-coding RNA (BRAP_LNC008374)
Source: RNAcentral